RNAcentral lists this ribosomal RNA (431 nucleotides) under uncultured bacterium. RNAcentral's name for it is "bacterial SSU rRNA". It matches the Rfam family "Bacterial small subunit ribosomal RNA", at positions 354 to 776 of the family's 1533-position model. The record is from RNAcentral.
GUGGGGAAUCUUGCGCAAUGGGCGAAAGCCUGACGCAGCGACGCCGUGUGGGUGAUGAAGGCCUUUGGGUCGUAAAGCCCUGUCAGAGGGGACGAAAUCUUGUCGACCUAAUACGUCGGUGACUUGACGGUACCCUCAGAGGAAGCACCGGCUAACUCCGUGCCAGCAGCCGCGGUAAUACGGAGGGUGCAAGCGUUGUUCGGAAUUACUGGGCGUAAAGCGCGUGUAGGCGGCCUUUUAAGUCUGAUGUGAAAGCCCGAGGCUCACCCUCGGAAGUGCAUUGGAUACUGGGAGGCUGGAGUACCGGAGAGGAGGGUGGAAUUCCUGGUGUAGCGGUGAAAUGCGUAGAUAUCAGGAGGAACACCAGUGGCGAAGGCGGCCCUCUGGACGGAUACUGACGCUGAGACGCGACAGCGUGGGGAGCAAACAGG